This 245-nucleotide ribosomal RNA is filed under the name uncultured Lachnospiraceae bacterium. RNAcentral's name for it is "partial 16S ribosomal RNA". It matches the Rfam family "Bacterial small subunit ribosomal RNA", at positions 524 to 768 of the family's 1533-position model. The record is from RNAcentral. Lineage: Bacteria; Bacillati; Bacillota; Clostridia; Lachnospirales; Lachnospiraceae.
UACGUAGGGGGCAAGCGUUAUCCGGAUUUACUGGGUGUAAAGGGAGCGUAGACGGUGAGGCAAGUCUGAAGUGAAAUGCCGGGGCUCAACCCCGGAGCUGCUUUGGAAACUGUUUUACUAGAGUGCAGGAGAGGUAAGUGGAAUUCCUAGUGUAGCGGUGAAAUGCGUAGAUAUUAGGAGGAACACCGGAGGCGAAGGCGGCUUACUGGACUGUAACUGACGUUGAGGCUCGAAGGCGUGGGGAG